RNAcentral lists this ribosomal RNA (216 nucleotides) under uncultured bacterium. Its description in RNAcentral is "partial 16S ribosomal RNA". It matches the Rfam family "Bacterial small subunit ribosomal RNA", at positions 588 to 793 of the family's 1533-position model. The record is from RNAcentral.
UCAGAUGUGAAAGACCCGGGGCGUCAAACCUCCGGAAUAGCAUUUGUAAACUAGGCAGACUAGAGUACUGUAGAGGGGGGUAGGAAGUUUCAGGUGUAGCGGUGAAAAUGCGUAGAGAUCUGAAGGAAUACCGGUGGCGAAGGCGGCCCCCUCGGACAGAUACUGACACUCAGAUGCGAAGGCGUGGGGAGCAAACAGGAUUAGAUACCCUGGUAG